This is a long non-coding RNA of Mobula hypostoma (lesser devil ray), 10789 nucleotides long. RefSeq lists it as uncharacterized. Lineage: Eukaryota; Metazoa; Chordata; Chondrichthyes; Myliobatiformes; Myliobatidae. The record is from RefSeq and is a predicted model, not a curated record. The transcript has 2 exons.
CGACCUUAAAGCGGGCCCACCAGCGACUGUCCUGGGUCCGCAGCGCCUAAUGUAGCAGAGUAGAGCCGCAGGGUCCGGGUCCUGGGACAUCCAGGGCAAUUGGCGGUAUGCUGUUCGAAGCAGUGAGUUCCUCCAGCAGUUUGUUUCCUGGCAUUCCCUAUCUCACAGCCUUGAUGGAGUUCGUUGAGGAAGUGACGAGGGUGAUUGAUAAGGUUGCGGCAAUAGAAAUUGCCUACAGGGACCAGUGAAACAUCUGACAAGAUCUUCAAGGUAGGCUAGUUCAGAGAUGGGGGCACAUAGAUAGACAUACUUUAUUGAUCCCGAGGGAAAUUGUGUACAUGAUAUCCACAAUGAGGUAGAAUACUGGCAGCAAAGAGGGUGUACAGGAGUGAAGUAGAUCACCUUGACCUACCGUCAAAUUUCUGUCAUUUUUGAUCCCUGGGUUCUUUAAGGAGUUCAGGAAUGAGUGAGGAUCUUUGAUUCUUCAUGAUUGUUUAUUUUAAAGUUAAACAAAGAUACAGAGCAUUUGAAACUAACCAAGGAGCUGAGAAGCAAAGCAGAGGUUCAACAGAUUCAAUAACAAAAAGAAGAUGGCGCCUUUGAAAAAUCUAUCACCUUCAUCCUUGAGAUAACAGAAAUUCCUUUGAUAACAGAAUACAAUCAAAAAAUUAUAUAAUUAAAACAAAUAUAACACGUGUAUAAUGUGCUAAUACUUAGCCAAUUAAAAAUGAAAAGAUAUAUCACCUUCUGCUAGUAAGGUGGGGAUAAGCCACCAUACUGUGAAAAAUAGAUGAGUUUGUUAAAAAUACAAAUUAUGUCAGUUAAAACUAUGAUUUGAGUUGUACUUUAAUUUAACUAAUACGUUAUAUACAGUAUAAAAGCGUAUAAAAAUGGGGUCAGCGGUGGAAGGAGUAAGCACCCAGUCCCUGGGUGUCAAUGUCUCUGAAGAUCUAUCCUGAGCCCAACACAUUGACGAAUUGCAGAGAAGGCACAUUGGUGACUACGCUUCAUUAGGAUUUUGAGGAGAUUUGGCAUGUCACCAAAGAUUCUAGCAAGUUUCUACAGAUUUGCCACGGGGACCAUUCUGACGGGCUGUCUCACUGCCUGGUACGGAGGGGCCAGUGCACAGGACCAGAGAAAGCUGCGGAGGGUUGUAAACUCAGCCAGUCCCAACAUCGGCUCUAUUCCUCACUCCAUCUAGGACAUCUUCAAGUGGUGGUUUGAUCACUCAGGACUCUCACUAUCUGGGAAGUGCCCCCUUGUGGCCAUCGAACUUUGCAGCUCCUCCCGUGGAGGGUCAGACACCCUGAGCCAAUAGGCUGAUCCUGGACUUAUUUCCAUCUGGCAUAGUUUGCAUUUUGUUGUUUGAUUGUUUGUGGUUUUUGUAUUGCUAUAUUUACGCUCUAUUCUUGGUUGGUGCGGCUGUAACGAAACCCAAUUUCCCUCGGGAUCAAUAAAGUAUAUCUAUCUAUCUAUCUAUUGUCAUUACUACCAUCAGGGAGGAGGUACAGGAGCCUGAAAGCACACUCACUAAAAGCACAUGAAAAUUUCUACAGAUGUAACUUGGCGAGCAUUCUACUGGCCGCGUCACCGUCUGGUAUGGGAGGUGGGGGCUGGUGGGGGCUACUGCACAGGAUCGAAGUAAGCAGUAGAGAAUUGUAAACUUAGCCCCAUCAUGGGCACCAGCCUCCGUAGUAUCCAGGACAACUUCAAAGAGCGACGCCUCAAAAAGAUGGCGUCCAUCAUUAAGGACUCCCACCACCCUGGUCAUGUCUCGUUCUCACUGUUACCAUCAGGUAGGAGGUACAGAAGCCUGAAGGCACACACUCAGCGAUUCAGGAACAGCUUCUUCCCCUCUACCAUCUGAUUCCUAAAUGGACAUUGAACCCUUGGACACUACCUCACUACUUCCUAAUUUCUAUUUUUGCGCUAUUUAAUGUAUAUACUUACUGUACCUCACUGAUUUUUCUCUAUUAUUAUGUAUCGCAUUGUACUGCUGCGGCAAAGACAGCAAAUUUCACGACAUACGCCGGUGUUAUUUAACCCGAUUCUGAUUCAGCGAGUUUCUUCCCCUCGGCCAUCAGAUUGCUGUCUGGGCAAUGAAGCCACACACACCAUCGUGAAUGUGGAGGGUGAACGCCAGCUGCCUGCUUUCUGAUCGCUGGUGGGAUCGCUUCGCUGCCAAAGAGAGGAGCGCGUGUGGCCUGUUGCUGUGCCCGCAGGAUGUUAUCAAGGUUUCCUGUGUUUAUGCAUUUGGACAAUGGGCUAUGCACUUUUUUUCAGUCACAGUUUUUUUUGUAGUCUGUGUUUUCGCAUGUUCUUUCUCAUUUUUUUUGUGCAGGAGAGGAGGAUUUGGGGGCUGAUGUUCUUGUUGUGUUUCGAGCGGGGUGGUGGGGGGUUUUGGAGUCGAUCGUGCUGAUGUUUUUUUUUGCGGGGGGGUUUGUUUGCUGUUUCUCCCUGAUGGACUUUCAUGGUUUUUCUCUGUUUCGUGGCUAUCUGGAGAAGUGGAAUCUCAGAGUUGUAUACUGCAUACAUACUUUGAACCUUUUUGAACCAUCUCAUUAUCCCUCUUUCUUUGUACAAAUUAUUUAUUUCUGACACUUAUGUGUUUCUAUGUAUUGCACUAUACUGCUGCCGCAAUACAACAGAUUUCAUGUCUUACGUCAGUGAUAAAAAACCUGAUUCUGAAUCAGUCGAGUACUAAGUUGGCAGAGGGCAGUGGUGGAGGGGUGUUAUUCUGACUGGAGGUCCAUGACCAGUAGGGUUCCACAGGGAUCAUCUGGGGAACCUCUGCUGUUUGUAAGAUAUGUGAGCCAGAUGAAAAUGGAGGUUAGUAAGUUUGCAGGCAAGAUGAAAAUUGACGGAGUUAUGGAUAAUGAGGAAGGUUGUGCCUUGAUUCAGUGGGAUCCACCGCACAGGGUCGGAAAAAGCUGCAGAAAGUUGUAAACUCAGACAGCGCCAGCCUCCCCAGCAUCCAGGACAUCUUCAAAAGGCGAUGCCACAAGAAGAUGGCGUCCAUUAUUGGGAACCCUCGCCAUCUUCUCAUGGCUACCAUCGGGGAGAAGGUACAGGAGCCUGAAGACACACACUCAAUGUUUUGGGAACAGCUUCUGCCUCACCACCACCAGAUUUCUGAACGGUGCAUGAACCCAUGAACACUACCUCACUGGAAAUAAUUCAGAAGCUGGGUAGCUCCGGUGGUCCAACCACUGCUUGAGUUACACGUCUUCGCAAUUAUUUCCAACACCUUUGGGCAUCAAACGCUCAAAUGUGCUUGCUGUUGGGAGAACCGCCAGCAGGCAGGCCUCCACAUGUGCGUGACUCGUCUUCCCCAUCAACACCAUUUUGCUCUCUUUAUGCAUUACCUACAUUCUCUAUUAUAACUUAUGGUAAAUUUUUAUAUCUGUCACAAAACAACAAAUAUCACGAUAUACCACAGUGAUAUUAACCCUGAUUCUGUGGAUGCAUUUGGAAAUUUGGGCGAUGGAAUUUAAUCGGGACGAGUGUGAGGUGUUGCAUUUUGGAAUGUCAGAGUUUGGACGUUUGCUCGGCUCUGCGCCGAACUGGGGGUCUCGGACCCUCCCUGUGACCUUCAGUUCAGAAUGCUAUUUGCUUGCCGUCAUUAUGUGCAUGUUUUGUUUUUUUUUCCUCUGCACAUCGGGGUGUUUGGUGGUCGUUUUUUGGGGAUUCUUUUGUGUUUCUUUGUUUUGUGGCUGCCUGUUAGGAGAUGAAUCUCCGGGUUGUAUAAUGCAUACAGACUUUGAUCUUGAUCACGCAGGUAGAAUGGAUUAGUUUUGUUAGGUAUUUAAUUACUAAGCCAAUUAGUUUGACGCAGGAUGAUCCAGAAGGCAUUUCCUGCACUGGACGGUCCUGUGUUCCAUGUACAGUAAAUGACAGAAGCCUUCGGAGCCCUAAUGUACAGAGGGAUCUUGGGGUGGAGGUCGCCAUCUUAAGAGUGGCCACAGAGGUGGUCAAGGAGGCAAAACCCACACUGACCUUCACCAGGCAGGACAGGGAGUAUGAUUGUUAGGUAGUCUUGUUGCAGCUCUAUAAAACAUUUGGAGUUUUGUACACAGUUCUGGUCAUGUCAUUACAGGGAGAAUGCAAGAGUUCAAUUCCCAAUGCCGUAUGUAAGGAGUUUCUACAUUCUCCCCCAGACCAUGUGGGUCUCCUCCUUCAUUUCAAAGACAUAUAACCAUAUAACAAUUACAGCACGGAAACAGACCAUCUCGGCCCUUCUAGUCCAUGCCGAACUCUUACUCUCACCUAGUCCCACCGACCUGCACUCAGCCCAUAACCCUCCAUUCCUUUCCUGUCCAUAUAGCUGUCCAAUUUAACUUUAAACGACAACAUCGAACCUGCCUCAACCACUUCUGCUAGAAGCUCGUUCCACACAGCUAUCACUCUCUGAGUAAAGAAGUUCCCCCUCAUGUUACCCCUAAACUUUUGCCCUUUAACUCUCAACUCAUGUCCUCUUGUUUGAAUCUCCCCCACUCUCAAUGGAAAAAGCCUAUCCUGGGUUAAGGUUAGUAAGUUGUGGGCAUGCCAUGUUGGUUUUGGGAGCGUAGUCCCCAGCACAUCUCGGACUAAGUCGGUCGCUGACACAAACGACACAUUUCCCUGUAUGUUUCGAUGUUUCAAUGCCCACGUGAGAAGUAAAAGUAAUCUUUAAGGUUGCUGUUGUAACGCCACUCAACCAGCUAGUCUGUCUCGCUGCUUUACACCUCCUCGUUGCCAUCCAAGAUCCUGCCAACAGGAGUGUCACUGGUGAAUUUAUAGAUGGCAUUUGAGCUGUGCCGAGCCACACAGUGGUGGGUGUAGGGAGAGUAGAGCAGUGUGCCAAGCACACAACCCCGAGGUGUGCCUUCUGCCCCAACUUCCCAAAUAUUCCUUGUGUUCAGCUACAGUGGGGAUGAACCCCCCCUCCCCCCACAGGUGACUGUUACUGCAGGUGACAGUGGCUGAUUACGGCUACAAACCAUUGCAGAGUUGUCAUUUUAAUAGCUUUCAUGUUAAAACCGGCUUUAAGGAGCCUUAAAACCAGCCACUUUGGGCAGAUGGGGUUCGUCAGACAUGGUUGGCAGCUUAUCUAGGAAAAGGAAAACUCUGAUCUGAAACCUCCGCUGCCUUGAGGCUAUACCCACUCAUGAGGAAGGCUUCGAGAGUAAACCCCGAGGGAAAAAUCCGGAGCUGGAGUCCCUAAGGCAGUCCUACGUUGAGUUCAGUGCUGACUGGCAACUCCUGCGAUGCUGCUGGUGCCCAACUGUGUUGAUCUCUGCCAUUCCUUUGGGUUCAUCAGAUGCCUGGGGAGGGGGAAUUAGCUACAUGAGCGACAGUUUGCUCUCCAAAUUGUUCUGCCCAGGUUUGCGCGUCUUGGAGAGAGCUAGAACACAACAUCCCUGGUCAACCCAGACCAACAGAGAGCCUGGCACGUUAUUGAAGUGAAGUAAGGAGAGUGGAUUGUGUUCAUGUGGUUAGAACAUCGAGAAUCCACAGCACAUUACAGGCCCUUCGGCCCACAACGUAACCUGCUCUAGAGCUGCCUAAGAUUACCCUACCGCCCAGCCCUCUAUUUUUCCAAGAUCCAUUAAGAGUGUCUCAAAAGACCCUACUGUAUCCAACCCUAUGGUUCCUGCUCCGAUUACAGGAAAACAGUUCACCAGUGGAAGUGGUACCUGCAGGUUCGAUUGCAACAUUGAAGAGGAGUUUGGAUAAGUACAUGAAUGGAGAGGUAUGGAGCGCAAUGGUCCUGAUGCCUUUCAAUGGGACUUAGGCAGACGACCAGGUCGGCAUAGACUAGAUGGGCCAAAAGGCCUCUUUCUGUGCUAUGGUACUCCAUGAUUAUUUUGGUGAGGCCAAAUUUGAGUGUUGUGUACGGUUCCUGUCACUUACCGACGGGAAGGAUAUCAAUCAGAUUGAAAGAGUACGGAGAAAAUUGACAAGGAUGUUACCGCGACUUGAGGACCUGAGUUACAGGGCAAGGCUGAAUAGGUACCUGCAUCAUUAUUCCCUGGAGUAUCGGAGAACAAGGGGAGAUCUGACAGAGGUAUACAAAAUCCUGAGGGGUAUAGAUAUGGACAAAGCCUGCUGGCAUUUACCCUGAGAUUGGGGGAGAUUAGGUCAUGAGUUAAGGGUGAAAGGUGAAAUGCUUAAGGUGAACAUGAGGGGAACUUCUUCGCUCAGAGGUUGGUGAGAGGGUGGAACGAGCUGCCAGUGCAGGUGGUGCAUGCAGGUUUGAUUUCAACAUUAAAGAGAAAUUUGGACAGGUAUACGUGUGUUGGGAGUGGGGGGGCAAUGGUCCAGGUACAGGUCGAUGGGAAUAGCACCUCGGCAUGGACAAGGUGAGUGUUUCUGUGCUUAGUGAUCUACGACAUUAUGUAUUCUGGCUGAAUUACGUUAAAGAACAAUGUGAAUAAAGAGCGGUUCAGUAUCCCUCAGAACUGCAGCACUUCACAAUUCCCAAUCCCGACCGCCAGUGCUCUCUGUGUGCAGCUUCCAGGUUUGCCCUGUGACCACCAGGGUUUCCCUUGGGUAUCACAGAGUCAUCAAACACCACAGCAUGCAAGCAGGCCCUUCAGCCCAUCUAGUCCAUGCCGACCAGUUACUCUACUCAGUCCCAUCGACCUGCACCCGGACAUUAGCCCAACAUACCCCUCCCUUCCAUGUACCUAUCCAAACAUCUCUUAAAUAUUGCAAUCAAACUCACAUCCACUGGCAGCUCAUUCCUCACUCCCACCAGCAACUCAGUGAAAACCUUCCCCCUCCCUGGUUCCCCUUUCACUCUUAACCCAUGACCUUUAGUUCUAGUCCCACCCAACCUCAGUGGAAAAAGCCUAUACCCUCAUAAUUUUGGAUGAAAUCUCCCCUCUUUGAUUUUCUAUCAAAUCUCCCCUCAUUCUCCUACACUCCAGGAAUAAAACUCUGACCUAUCCAACCUUUCCCUAUAAUUCAGCUCAAUUCCCGGCAGCAUCCUUGUAACUUUUCUCUGCACUCUUUCAAGUUUAUUGAUAUCUUUCCUAUUCAGGUGACAGAACGACACACAAUGCUCCAAAUUAGGCCUCACCAACACCUUGUACGAGAUAGCUGUUAAGCACCAGAGUGCAAGUCCCCAGAAUUCUCCUGCGUAUCAGUAGCUCCACAAUAGUUGAUUACUUGGGGUCAGAUGUGGACCAGGUGAGUCAAAUGGCCAAGUCCCUGAGCUCAGCCCUCGCCAAGCUGCUGGGGAAGGGGCGGCCUCUCCCACAAUCUUAUCAACCUGACACACGGAGGGCUGAGUGGCCUCUCUUUGACUGUAAGACAUGGGAGCAGAAUUAGAACUCGGGCCAUCCCGUCCACUCUACCAUUCCAUCAUGGCUGAUUUAUUGUCCCUCGCAACCCCAUUCCCUAGCCUUCUCCCUGUAACCUUCGAUGCCUUGGCUAAUCAUGAACCUAUCAACAUCUGCCUUAAAUAUAUACAAUGACUUGGCCUCCACAGGUGUCUGUGGCAAUGAAUUUCACAGAUUCACCACCCUUCGACUAAAGACAUUCCUCCUCAUCUCUGCCCUAAAGGGACAUCCUUCUGUCUGAGGCUGUGUCCUCUGGUCCUAGACUCCCCCACUAUAGGAAACAUCCUCUCCACAUCCGCUCUAUCUGUGUCCUCUGGUCCUGGACUCCCCCACUAUAGGAAACAUCCUCUCCACAUCCACUCUAUCUGUGCCCUCUGGUCCUAGACUCCCCCACUAUAGGAAACAUCCUCUCCACAUCCGCUCUAUCUGUGUUCUCUGGUCCUAGACACCCCCAGUAUAGGAAACAUCCUCUCCAUAUCCAGUCUGUGUCCUCUGGCCCUAGACUCUACCACUAUAGGAAACAUCCUCUCUAUCCAGGCCUUUCACCAUUCAAUGGAUCUCAAGGAUCCCAUUCCUCUAAACUCUAGUGAGUACAGGCCCCAAGCCAUCAAAUGCGCCUCACACAUUAACCCUUUCAUUCCUGGGAUCAUUUAUUCCACUGUCAUAUGCAGUGGGGGUGGUGACAGGGAUAACAAGGGAGGGGACAAACGCCGUGUAAAUCACAGUCACUCUGCCUGGAAACAGUCCAUUCAGCUGAACUGGUCCACACUGACCAGGAUUCCUGUUCAAGCUGGUCCCUUUUGCCUGUGUUUGACCCAUAUCUCUCAUCUGAUCUAUCCAACUCUCCAUCCAAGUGCCUUUUAAAUGUCGUAAAUGUACCUGGCUCUGGCAGCUGAAUCCACCUACAAACCACAUUCUAGGUGAAAAAGUUGUUCCUCAUAUUCUUUCCUCUCUCACUUUUAACCAGUGCCCUCUGGUUCUUGAUUAAUCAACCCUGGGGAAAAGACUGAGUGCACUCAUCUGAUCUGUGCCCCUCGUGGUUUUAUACGCCUCGUCAUUCCAAUCAAUGAAGUCCCAGGCUGUUCAUCCUCUCCCUAACUCAAUCCCUCGAAUCCUCAUAAAUCUCCUCUGCACUCUUUCCAGCUUAACAGCAUCUUUCCUAUAGUGGCAGGAUGGCAGGGCUGGAGGUUUGUCUCCACCAAAGGAGGUGUAAGGUGCUCCUUCCCUCCGCUAGCCUGCAGGUCACCCUUGGGCGAGGUGUAGCACCUGCUUAGCCCCCGAUCAGGGUCACGUGGACCCAAGGGAGCAGGUGGUGGAUGGUCAGAUGAGCAGCUGAUGCAGAUCACAAUUCCUGGUUAUGCGACCACUGACGCCAGGCAGACAAUUUCUGAAGAGUAUUGAUAAUGGCUGGGGUCACCCGUCUUGUAAAGACACUGCCCAGAAGAAGGCAAUGGCAAACCACUUCUGUAGAAAAAUUUGCCAAGAACAAUCAUGGUCAUUGAAAGACUGUGAUCACCCACGUCAUGUAACACAGUGCAUCACGAACAAAUCCAUGGGGGGGGGGUGCGGUUGGCCAAAAAUGAACACCAGAUUCCAAAAGUGGUCUCCAACAUCCUAAACAGCUGAAAAGAAAGGUCCUCCAUCAGCUUUCGAGCUGGGCUGUCCCUCGUGUCCCCAGAGCCUGCGUCCACUCCCGCUGCAAAGUCACAGGGAGGGUGUGGGCUGAGACUGGGUGCUGUGUGAAUGCAGAAUUGUUGUUGGUCAGCCACAGUGAGGGUCAGGUCCCAGCUCAGCUUGUGUGUGUUUUAAAUUUAUUAAUACAUAUGUAUAUCCUGAUAAAAGCUAACUGUGAAAUAUAGAGUUCAUAGGAUAAUCCAUACAUACACAUUUAUAGAACAGGCAAAUGACCGAGAUCAGGAGAAAUCAAUCUCCUGUGAGUGAGAUAUUGAUGUCAUUCACAGCAUCCCUGGAUAAAGUGACAUCAGUUACAAAAAAAACUGAAUGUUUUGCAAUACUGGGCUAUUUGGCCCCUCGACCUCCCUGCUGUCCAAUGAGAUCAUGGGGGAGCCUUGCCCCCAAAGGCAGGUGGUUGAAGUGGCCAUUUCCCUUUGGGCAGUGGGGUUGCAUGUAGAGUGGGCAGGAACGGGGGCUCACCCUACCCACUGCUGUCUGUAAGGUCGAGGGGUAAACGGCUCUCUGUGGAGGCUUUUAUUGCUAACAGUCCCAUGCAGUGGGUGGGGGCCUGGGGAGUUCGUGCUCUCUGCUUUUCGUGGUCCCAUCAUCCAGCCCCUCGAGGUCACGCUGAAUCCCGAGACAGCCACGCAGCAAGGAAUAUAUCUGUUCCCCUUGGCAAUGUGGCACAUCCCCUUUAACAUAGCAUACUGUGGGUGGGGGAGCUACACCAAUUACCAUUUAACACAGAACACUGCCCCUUUAAUGAAGAACCUCCCCUUUAAAGCAGAAUGCUGCACCUUUAAGAGGGGAACCUUCUCCUCGAGAGAGGAAACUCCCCUUUAAUACAGAAUACUGUCUCUUUAAUGAUGGACAACUUCCCCUUUUACACGGAACCCUUCAACUGAAGACUUACCUCCUUGAACACAAAACACUGCCCCUUUAAGAGGGGAACCUCCCCUUUAACUCAGUACACCGCACCUUCUCUGGCUCUCAUUGCAAGGGUUAAAGGGAAGGUUGCCCCUCGUUAAAGGGCAGAUCUUUGUGUUAGAGGGGAGGCUACACCCAUGCUCCAGCUGUGUGUCACCAGAGGGGUCAGUGUGUCCUCCCUGCCCAACCCCACCACUGGGACAAUCGACUCCAGGGAGGGGUCAUCAGGGUUCCUGGGUGAGAGGGGUGCGAGGCAGGAGGCAAGUUUGGGGUUUCAGUGCUCAAGAGAGAGGGUGAAAUGGAGGACAUCCUCCCUGGAGUCAGUGGUGGGACGGGGAGGCGGGGGGGUGCUUUCUACCCUACUCUCCCCAUGUUCCUGAGGAAGGGAGGGGGCACUGGUUUACCCCGGCAUAGAAACUUUAACCCGGGGUAGAAACUUUAACCCUUUGGGGGAAGGUACUGUCCAAUCUGUUCCUGCCACCACCCUGGGGGUACGAGUGACCACCUGGUGGCUGGAGCCUGUGGGACAGCCAGGAGGGCUGGUCUCACCCCAGACACUGAUUCCGGGCUCAGCUGUCAUCUCACAGGGGACAUCCGGGGUGGGGGGGUGACCCUCACAGACCACAGCCAUCUCGUGCUCAGCUUCACCCCACCUCCUCCCCUGACUACAGACUUGGAGGGAGGGAGGCAGGAGAAAUUCCCAGAAAGGCCAGAGGGGAUGAACUUUCUCGCACCAGGUUGCAAGUUCUGGACGGAUGAUCCAACAGAAUUGGGGUCUCUCCCUGGGGUCAGAGAGACCACAAACACUGCGACUUUGGCCCAUUAAUGAGAGGGAGGAACCCGGGGAGGGGCAUUCCCCCCCC